GGGUGUGCGGAAGUGGCCACGGAAGAUCAAUUAAUAGAAGCUGUUGAAACUAGCCACCAACGUGAGGAGGAGGAGGUUCUGAAGACUGAGUUGGAACAAGAAGUUGCAGAUGCUCUGUGCUGAGCCAUUGUCCAUACAAGUUGAUCCACAUUCCUAGAAGUGCCUAGUAACCACCAUCAUGUCUAAACGAAAC
Molecule: long non-coding RNA, 193 nt
Organism: Pristis pectinata (smalltooth sawfish)
Lineage: Eukaryota; Metazoa; Chordata; Chondrichthyes; Rhinopristiformes; Pristidae
Exons: 3
Source: RefSeq, a predicted model, not a curated record